Long non-coding RNA from Capsicum annuum, 2512 nucleotides. RefSeq lists it as uncharacterized. NCBI's taxonomy places the organism in Eukaryota, Viridiplantae, Streptophyta, Magnoliopsida, Solanales, Solanaceae. The record is from RefSeq and is a predicted model, not a curated record. The transcript is spliced from 2 exons.
UAUCAAAAGAAAAGAGAGACAAGUCUCUUUCUCUCAUUCCUAAAAUGCAUCUUUUCCCCUUCCCCAUACCUCGUUCAAUCUCCAUUAACUUUACCAAAUUACAACACCAAACAGUCCCUAUCUUCCCUCAUUCUUCCUCUGUUCUCAUCUCCUUCAAACAAGAAAAACCCUAGCCAUGGCUUACAUCACCUCUGCCACGACUGAAUGCACCUGCCAAGCUUCAUCCUAUUAUCAGGCAUUCCGGCUCUUGACUCCAAUAAAUCAGUGAUGAAAAGUGCCGAAUCAAUUAUAAAGCAAAAAAUGAUUCAAAUCUACUAUUAAUGCUUGAGAGUCGUCCAAAUUUGCAAGAGAAUUGUCCUUCUCAACUUUUUGAAAUUUGAAUUUCCUCUAUCAUUUAUUUGUUGGCUUUCCAUGAAGUUUUGGGUUUCAAAUUUGGAUUUUGAGAUCUGGAUUUGCCAAUGAAUACCCACAAUUUCAUUCUUCAAAGGCCGGGGGGGGGGGGGGGGGGGGGGGGAGGGGGGGAUAUUCAUAGGUUUUGAUCCCCCACAAUACUCGUUGGGCAUAAAAAUAUAGAGAAUUUUUCAUUACCAGUUAAUAGUCUUUUGUCUCCCUUGGUCUGAGUUCGAGUUUUGAAACCCCAAAAACUUGACAUUAGAGCCUCAGCUUGCUGCCCAACACAAGGUAUUAGCAAUCUUGAACCAGUCCAGAACAAACUCCUUAAAGCUGUAAGUUCUUUCGAUAGAAAUCCGGUGGGCUGUUUGAGGUCGUUUUGAUGUGGUUUUGGCUGCUUUUAACGUGGUAAUUUUGACGUAAAUAUGUAAGUGUUUGAUAAGUGUUUGAUCGAUGUAUUUACAAGGUGUCGGUAGCUCCAUUUUCACGUAAGGGGUUUUAAAAAAUGGCCACAAAUCCUCGGUUGUCCGUCAUAAAAUUUAUACCUUAAGGAUUAGCCAUGAUAAGAAUUACCGCGUGGUAUCUCUUUCUCAUUCAAUUAUAUGUAAUCUUUAGCUAUCGUCUUUCUUUGUUAAGUCGUGUGAAUGAUAUCAACGGUGCAAGUCCAAAAGUAUUUUAACAUAGCUUUUGUAUCUUGUCAUUGGAUUCUCUCUUCUUCGUGGAAAUUUAAGACUAUUAGUAUUACUUAUUGAUUUUAUUUUUUCAAUAAGCUACCUUGAAUAGAUAAGUAGUUUUGAAGUUGAGAUUUAGGGCAGCAUUUUAUCUUUAGGAGAGAUAACUUUAUUAGUUUGGACCAACUGAGUUAAGCACCGCAAUAUUUCAAAAUGGUUUUUUAUUUUCUAUUUAGUGUGUGCUAAGCUACUGUAUGAUUAAAUAUAUGUGUCUAUGGAUAUGUUUCCUCCUCAAUCUGCUCGCUUCUGGUUCAUCUAAGUCACUUUAUAAUCGCUUUUAUUUCUUUGCUUUGUUUUCAUGUAUACUUUCGAGAACUGGAGUUUUGCAGUGGAACUCAAUUCAACCCAUAGUAUCAGGUCAACAGUUAUAGGAUCAUCAAAGUUCAGGGUCUACAUAGUUAGGAGUUGGUUCUGUCAAAAGAACUUAGCUUAUCUUCUUCUUUCUUUACAUUUUCUUAUUAUAUCAACAUUUAUUUUCGCUAACCUUGUAUUUAUUUGAUUAUGUAUUUUGGUCUGCUUUGAUUGAAUUUGAAUUAACUUUAUAUUAAUUUAGUUUUGUUUAGCUUCAAAAUAUCUAGAAUUAGUUUCCUUCGGGUAAUCUUUUGUAAAUUUAACGUCUAUAGGUAUAGUAACACAUUAUUUAACCAUUUAUUUUACAUUCGCCAAUUGAUAAUUUUUUAAUAAAAGAAAAUUUUUGGUCUUAAAGGUAAAUUCUUGAGUUGCAGUCCGUUCGGCUAUGUUGUAUGGAGCGGAGUGUUGAUCAGUCAAGAACUUACACAUUCAAAAGUUGAAAGUGGUAGAAAUGAGGAUGUUGCAGUGGAUAUGCGAACUUACUAGGAGUGACAGAGUAAGGAAUGAGACUAUUCGAGAGAAGGUGGGUGAAGCUUCGGUAGAGGACAAGAUGCGGGAAAUGAGGUUGAGAUGGUUUGGGCAUGUGAUGAUGAAUGAGACUAUUCGAGAGAAAGUGGGUGAAGCUUCGGUGGAGGACAAGAUGCGGGAAGUGAGGUUGAGAUGGUUUGGGCAUGUGAUGAGGAGGGACACUGAUGUCCCAGUUUAUAGGUGUGAGAGGUUCGCCUUGGAGGGUUUCAGAUAGGGUAGGGAAAGGCCAAAGAAAUAUUGAAGAGAGGUGAUUAUACGUGACAUGGAGCAGUUACAGCUUACUGAGAACGUGAUCCUGGAUAGAAAGGUUUGGAGGACGCAUAUUAGGAUAGAGGGCUAAUGCGUGUAGAGUCGUCUUAGGCAGUAGGGCCUUGUGCAUAGGUUAGAGCUUCUAGUUAGGAGGGUUGGGGAGGUGUGCCUUUUGUUUGUUAAUGUAUAAUAUUGCUUUGCGAGUGUUGUACCUCUGUUAUUUCUCCUUGUUUCAUGAUUUAUGAUAACAUUGAUUACUGUUA